RNAcentral lists this transfer RNA (67 nucleotides) under Labeo cf. barbatus CBM-ZF-11784. RNAcentral's name for it is "tRNA-Cys". It matches the Rfam family "tRNA". From Rfam's summary of the family: Transfer RNA (tRNA) molecules are approximately 80 nucleotides in length. The record is from RNAcentral. Lineage: Eukaryota; Metazoa; Chordata; Actinopteri; Cypriniformes; Cyprinidae.
AGCCUUGUGGUGAGGAGCACAUUGGAUUGCAAGUCCAAAGACGCAGACUAAUAUUCUGCCGGGGCUU